AGUGGCGAACGGGUGAGUAACACGUUGGUGACCUGCCCCAGAGAGGGGGACAACCACUGGAAACGGUGGCUAAUACCCCAGAUGUUAUUGUGUUUAGAAAGCAAUGACUAAAGCUCCGGCGCUCUGGGAGGGGCCUGCGGACCAUCAGCUAGUUGGUAAGGUAAUGGCUUACCAAGGCAAAGACGGAUAGGGGGCGUGAGAGCGUGGCCCCCCACACUGGUACUGAGACACGGACCAGAUACCUGCGGGUAGCAGCAGCAAGGAAUAUUGCCCAAUGGACGAAAGUCUGAGGCAGCAACGCCGCGUGGAGGAUGAAGGCCUUCGGGUCGUAAACUCCUUUUCUGGGGGAAGAGAAAGGACGGUACCCCAGGAAUAAGUCUCGGCUAACUACGUGCCAGCAGCCGCGGUAAAACGUAGGAGGCGAGCGUUAUCCGGAUUUAUUGGGCGUAAAGCGCAUGUAGGCGGUUUUCUAAGUCGGACGUGAAAGCUCCUGGCUCAACUGGGAGAGGUCGUUCGAAACUAGGAAACUUGAGGGUGGUAGAGGAGAGUGGAAUUCCCGGUGUAGUGGUGAAAUGCGUAGAUAUCGGGAGGAACACCAGUGGCGAAGGCGGCUCUCUGGGCCAACCCUGACGCUCAGAUGCGAAAGCUAGGGGAGAGAACGGGAUUAGAAACCC
Molecule: ribosomal RNA, 674 nt
Filed under: uncultured Chloroflexota bacterium
Lineage: Bacteria; Bacillati; Chloroflexota
Description: bacterial SSU rRNA
Rfam family: Bacterial small subunit ribosomal RNA
Source: RNAcentral